RNAcentral lists this ribosomal RNA (691 nucleotides) under uncultured bacterium. RNAcentral's name for it is "bacterial SSU rRNA". It matches the Rfam family "Bacterial small subunit ribosomal RNA", at positions 94 to 765 of the family's 1533-position model. The record is from RNAcentral.
AGCGGCGCACGGGUGAGUAACGCGUGGGUAAUCUCCCUUCGUGACUGGGAUAACAGUGGGAAACUGCUGCUAAUACCGGAUAAUCUUCAUGUUUAACUUCAUGGGGAAAAGGUGGCCUCUGCUUGCAAGCUACCACACAAAGAUGAGCCCGCGUCUCAUUAGCUAGUUGGUAGGGUAAUGGCCUACCAAGGCUACGAUGAGUAGCUGGUCUGAGAGGAUGACCAGCCACACUGGGACUGGAACACGGCCCAGACUCCUACGGGAGGCAGCAGUGGGGAAUAUUGCGCAAUGGGCGAAAGCCUGACGCAGCGACGCCUCGUGAGGGAUGAAGGUCUUCGGAUCGUAAACCUCUGUCAAGAGGGAAGAAACCCUUGGAUUCGAAUAGGGUCCUUGGCUGACGGUACCUCAAAAGGAAGCACCGGCUAACUCCGUGCCAGCAGCCGCGGUAAUACGGAGGGUGCAAGCGUUAAUCGGAAUCACUGGGCGUAAAGCGCUCGUAGGCGGUUUGGUCAGUCAGAUGUGAAAGCCCUCGGCUUAACCGGGGAACUGCAUUUGAUACUGCCAGACUUGAGUGUCGGAGAGGGUGGCGGAAUUCCGGGUGUAGGAGUGAAAUCCGUAGAUAUCCGGAGGAACACCAGUGGCGAAGGCGGCCACCUGGACGACAACUGACGCUGAGGAGCGAAAGCGUGGG